CUUUCUUUUCUUCUUUCCUUCUUCUUCAGUGCCGUCCACUCCCUUUCUUUCUCCUCGCUACUUCAUCUCCAUUCUUCUUCUUCAAUCUGUCGGUUUGAGCUCCUUUUCUUCUUCUCCAUUUUAUUUUCUUCUUCUCUUGCUUCGCACCACCUCCUUCUUUCUCUUCAUUUUAUUUUCUUUUCAUUUGCUUUUCACUCGGCAAAAGCUGGUUGUGCCAAGAUUCUUGGUAGCUUCUUUAGCUUGUAAUCAAUAAUAUUUUCUUUUACCUAUAUAAAAAAAAAAAAGCUUCUUCAGCUUGUAAUAUUUGCAUUUUACUUUCUUGUGCUGGUUCUACAUUUUUUUUUGCUGAACCGAACUGUUCUUCUGCCCUCUUUGGAUUUUAAUUUUCGUUGCUUUUCCUUCAUUUUUGUAGGUCAAUCCGUAGGGGUCUUACUCUGUUUUGGCCCCAUUUUCUUGCUCGAUUUUCUCUCAUUUUUCCUCUUGUAUUUUUGGGUCCUAGAUUGUGUUUAAACUCUUGUUGUUUUUCGGUUGUUUGGGACCCAAAAUUGUAUCUUGUUCUAGCUCCAUUUUCAUGCUCUGUUUUACCCUUCCCAUGCCCUGUUUUGCCCACAUGACCGUGAGCUUCAUUUUCAGUUCUUGUAGAUUUUUGGUUCUAGCCAUGAACUACACUUCUAGCCGUUUUCUUCAAGAUUUAUUUCAGUAAAAAUCAGUCCCUUUGUUUCGAAAAUUUCCCUCAAAGUUUUGUUAUUUUUGAAACCCAUUUUAGUUCCAACCCCAAGUCGAGCUAACUUUUGGAAGUUAAAUCGGGUGCGUGAUCUUUCAGAAAUAUUGUCUUUAAAGCUUUGACUGAGUCCGAGGAGUUGGGGGGUCGGUUAGAAUGAAGAACAGAAUUAUUUGUGUGAUUGGAUGAUAUUGGAAUUUGUUGGAUAUUUUUGUAUCUUGUUGUAUGCAUUGCAUGGUGCACGCAUGUUCAUAUUUGUAAAAUGAAAAUUAGGUUUUUGCAUA
Carya illinoinensis is the source of this 1005-nucleotide long non-coding RNA. RefSeq lists it as uncharacterized. The transcript has 2 exons. NCBI's taxonomy places the organism in Eukaryota, Viridiplantae, Streptophyta, Magnoliopsida, Fagales, Juglandaceae. The record is from RefSeq and is a predicted model, not a curated record.